This 420-nucleotide ribosomal RNA is filed under the name uncultured archaeon. Its description in RNAcentral is "partial 16S ribosomal RNA". It matches the Rfam family "Archaeal small subunit ribosomal RNA", at positions 323 to 746 of the family's 1478-position model. The record is from RNAcentral.
CUACGGGCCGCAGCAGCUGAGGAUCUUUUACAAUGCACGCAAGUGUGAUAAAGCGAGCCAGAGUGUUGUUCUUAGAACGACUUUUGUUUGCUGUAAAAAGGCAGACGAAUAAGGACUGGGUAAGACCGGUGCCAGCCGCCGCGGUAAUACCGGCGGUCCAAGUUGCAUCCAUUUUUAUUGGGUCUAAAACAUUCGUAGCUUGCUUUGUAAGUUUCUUGUGAAAUCUUAUGUCUCAAACAUGAGGCUUGCAAGAAAUACUGCAUAGCUAGAGACCGGAAGACGUAAGGAGUAUGAUUAAGGUAGCGGUAAAAUGUGUUAAUCUUAAUCAGACUAACAAUGGCGAAGGCACCUUACGAGUACGGAUCUGACAGUGAGGAAUGAAGGCCAGGGGCGCAAAACGGAUUAGAUACCCUUGUAGUC